GAUGAAGAACGCAGCGAAAUGCGAUAAGUAAUGUGAAUUGCAGAAUUCAGUGAAUCAUCGAAUCUUUGAACGCACAUUGCGCCCGCCAGUAUUCUGGCGGGCAUGCCUGUCUGAGCGUCAUUUCAACCCUCAUGCCCCUAGGGCGUGGUGUUGGGGAUCGGCCAAAGCCCGCGAGGGACGGCCGGCCCCUAAAUCUAGUGGCGGACCCGUCGUGGCCUCCUCUGCGAAGUAGUGAUAUUCCGCAUCGGAGGGCGACGAGCCCCUGCCGUUAAACCCCCAACUUUCCAAGGUUGACCUCAGAUCAGGUAGGAAUACCCGCUGAACUUAAGCAUAUCAAUAAGCGGAGGA
RNAcentral lists this unclassified non-coding RNA (348 nucleotides) under soil metagenome. Its description in RNAcentral is "partial contains 5.8S ribosomal RNA, internal transcribed spacer 2, and large subunit ribosomal RNA". The stretch from base 1 to 120 matches the Rfam family "5.8S ribosomal RNA", at positions 35 to 154 of the family's 154-position model. The record is from RNAcentral.